CCGAGUUUACAGACUCCCAAACCCUUUGUGAACCUUACCUAUCGUUGCUUCGGCGGGAUCGCCCCGGGCCGGCCCUUCACGGGGCCUCCGGAACCAGGCGCCCGCCGGAGAACCCAAACUCUUUGUUUUUAUGGUUUUCUCCUCUGAGUGGAUUAUAAACAAAUAAAUCA
Molecule: unclassified non-coding RNA, 170 nt
Filed under: soil metagenome
Description: partial internal transcribed spacer 1
Source: RNAcentral